This 363-nucleotide ribosomal RNA is filed under the name uncultured Entomoneis. RNAcentral's name for it is "partial Eukaryotic large subunit ribosomal RNA". It matches the Rfam family "Eukaryotic large subunit ribosomal RNA", at positions 37 to 396 of the family's 3401-position model. Lineage: Eukaryota; Bacillariophyta; Bacillariophyceae; Surirellales; Surirellaceae. The record is from RNAcentral.
AGCAUAUCAAUAAGCGGAGGAAAAGAAACCAACAGGGAUUGCCCCAGUAACGGCGAGUGAAGCGGCAAGAGCUCAAAUUUGAAAUCUGGCUCCUUCGGGGUCCGAGUUGUAAUUUGUAGAGGAUGCUUCGGGUGCGGCCCCCGUCUAAGUGCUCUGGAACGGGCCAUCGGAGAGGGUGAAAAUCCCGUCUGGGACGGGGUGUCCGCGUCCAUGUGAAGCUCCUUCGACGAGUCGAGUUGUUUGGGAAUGCAGCUCUAAAUGGGUGGUAAAUUUCAUCUAAAGCUAAAUACUGGCCGGAGACCGAUAGCGCACAAGUAGAGUGAUCGAAAGAUGAAAAGCACUUUGAAAAGAGAGUUAAACAGC